GUCUACUGCCAUACCACUGGGAAUGCACCCAGUCUCAUCUGAUCUCAGAAGCUAAGGGUCAGGCCUGGUUAGUAGCUGGAUGGAAGAAUAACACUGUCAUGGGAAAAAGCUGAUGGUAUCAAUUGGCA
Molecule: ribosomal RNA, 128 nt
Filed under: Otolemur garnettii (small-eared galago)
Lineage: Eukaryota; Metazoa; Chordata; Mammalia; Primates; Galagidae
Source: RNAcentral